AACUAGCGCAAGGGAUUGAAGCGACAUCCUUUUUUGCAUUUUUGCUGAUGCAAAAAUUGCAAAAAAGAUAUAGCGUAAAGCCCGACCCGUU
Molecule: small RNA, 91 nt
Filed under: Mesonia algae
Lineage: Bacteria; Pseudomonadati; Bacteroidota; Flavobacteriia; Flavobacteriales; Flavobacteriaceae
Description: Flavo-1 RNA
Rfam family: Flavo-1 RNA
Source: Rfam by way of RNAcentral